CUCGGAAGCUAAGCAGGCUCAGGCCUGGUUAGUACUUGGACGGGAGACCGCCUGGGAAUACCAGGUGCCGUAGGCUU
Molecule: ribosomal RNA, 77 nt
Filed under: Paratrygon ajereba
Lineage: Eukaryota; Metazoa; Chordata; Chondrichthyes; Myliobatiformes; Potamotrygonidae
Source: RNAcentral